CCUACGGGUGGCAGCAGUGGGGAAUAUUGCGCAAUGGGCGAAAGCCUGACGCAGCGACGCCGCGUGAGGGAUGAAGGUCUUCGGAUCGUAAACCUCUGUCAGCAGGGAAGAACGGUCACUGUGCUAAUCAGCAGUGAAUUGACGGUACCUGCAAAGGAAGCACCGGCUAACUCCGUGCCAGCAGCCGCGGUAAUACGGAGGGUGCGAGCGUUAAUCGGACUUACUGGGCGUAAAGCGCUCGUAGGCGGUAUGUCAAGUCAAGGGUGAAAUCCCCGGGCUCAACGUGGGAACUGCCUUUGAAACUGGCAAACUGGAGUGUGUGAGAGGAUAGUGGAAUUCCAGGUGUAGGAGGGAAAUGCGUAGAUAUCUGGAGGAACAUCAGUGGCGAAGGCGACUAUCUGGCACAUAACUGACGCUGAGGAGCGAAAGCGUGGGUAGCAAACAGGAUUAGAUACCCUAGUAGUC
RNAcentral lists this ribosomal RNA (465 nucleotides) under uncultured bacterium. RNAcentral describes it as "partial 16S ribosomal RNA". It matches the Rfam family "Bacterial small subunit ribosomal RNA", at positions 338 to 795 of the family's 1533-position model. The record is from RNAcentral.